AGUAAAUCAAAACAAAAAUUACAUUUAGCUCUUCAACUUUUCCAGCAAACAAACAUCUCAAACACAAAAACGACAGACUACAACAAACAAAUUACGACCACCCUUACAAACUCAUAAGGGAAAAGAGUAAACCCCAAGUAUCUGCCCAUAAGCAAAUAUGUCGGUUCUAACAUUUGCAUGAGUUGAAAUGACCAUAAAUUAAAAAAGUUAAGCAUUAUUUCUUUAUGUGUACAUUAACAUGGCAAUGCUUGAGGCUGUUUUCAAUAUUGUGCAGAUGAUAACAAAAUUGUUCUCUUUUUAUGUAUGUUCUUCUUGAUUUUGUCGUUUUUUUUUUUCUAAUUUGAAGUUUUGAUAUCUGUUGUUCCAUGCCAAGCUGCGCAUAUGUUAUAUUUAAUUGCUACUGGUUCUCUUCUGAUUUGAAUUACAAGGUAAAAGAGUCUUGACUGUAUAUAAAUUGAUAUGCUCACUUUUGUUUAUUUGUUGUAGAUUUAAAACAUCGAAAAUAAGGUAAAUAAAUACGUAUUCAAUAUUAUCUUUUGUCUUUAACUAGUUAGAAUUUUCUUUCUUUGUUAUUAUAAAGAUCUUUAGUCAAAAAGUUAAAGCGAGUCCAAUUAUAUAUUAUCUCUAUUUUGUUCUCUUUUGUGGGUAACACUGUUGGAGAAAGGUUGGGUUCUGAGAUAAUCGCGGAACAAAAGGCUUAUUUUCAUUUGAUUGUGACAUGUUUUAUUUUCUAUUAUAUUUAUAUUUUUUUCUAUUUAGGAUUAUUUACUUAGUAAUAUUCUUUUUGUUUACUUUAAUAUAGGACUACUGAAAGUUAUUACCAAUCUUAAGAAGUACUUUUAAGAUAAGUAAAUAAGCAUGUGUUUUUAUCUUUUUAGGUAGCUAAAUUUUUUUACAUUUUAUUAGCGUGUAACUCUUUGGGCAAAAAGUUUAAGAUGGUCCAGGCGUGUCACUUGUGUUUUGUUUUCUUUUUUUGAUACAACUCUUUUAAACGUGGAUUAUGAGGUAUCCGAAGAAUAAGAGGUUUGUCUUCCUUCUUUUAUCAUAUUUUUUUUAUUUUAUUUUGUUUUUUUAUUAGCUUAAUUAAUUUUUUUUUUUGAUGGAGUUGGAGAGCGCAUCAUCUAUCACAUUAAAUUUUAAAAAGUUUCCGGACGAAGCUCAAAAAGGAGAUCUACUACAUGGUCAUUUUAGUGGAAAAGAAGGUUUGUGGUUCGAUUUGAUAGUAAAUACUAGUGAUAGCGGGAACCCGUCUUCAUCGGUUGCAGUGGCAUUUGGUCGGCAAUCUCUUUUGAUUCUUCAGUGUUUCUAAUGAAGUUGCAUUUACUGAAAUGGUACUCAGGAUAUUGGAGCUGGUCUAUACAGUGGUUAGGUACUAAGAGCUGCUGUGUUUUAUGAGGUAUCUCUUUCUUCUUGUCUUUCACAUUAUAUUUCUUGAGCUUUGGUAUGCUUGUCUUGUUUCUCGCGUCGCUGGCAAGAGGACGGAGGUCUUGAUCAUUCUUCAAAAUUGUGCUGUAAGUGAUGAAAAUUCAAAUUUCUAUUUUAAUGAUUUUGCAUAUUUACUGGUUGUAGCAAACCUGAGAAUACUUGCUCUCUUGCUUACGCUAGCAGGUACUCUGUAUAGCUUGUUGCGUGUUUUACGGUCUGUGAGCGAUAAAAAGAGGGGAAGUACAUACGAGAAGAGACUAGAGCGCAGAGAAGAGAGUUCGUAUGAAAUUUUACCUCAUUAUUUAUUAUCUGAUUCGUCAACUAUUUCUAUUAUUUUACUAACUAAUCAAGCAAUAAUUUUUAAUUUAUGCUAUCAUAACUUAGUCGAAUGAUCGAUUUGAAACCUAAAAAUCUACGUCAUGCUAGAUCGAUAUGAACAAAGCAAAGUAAACAAAUUAUGAUUAGAAAUUGAAAUUCGAAUAAAAAUGCAAACAAACUCAAAUACAAUUAUAAAUCCAAGUAUACUGAAGGAAAAAUUCAAUUGAAUUUUUUUUUUUGGCAAUCCCAAAUAAAUGAAACAAACAACUAACUCGAAUGAAAUUAUAACAAAUUAAAACAACAAGUAGACGUUGAAAUUCUAAUAUAAUUACAAACUCAAGUAAACCAAAACAAAAAUAACACUUAGCUCUUCAACUUUCCCAGCAAACAAACUUCUCAAACACAAUAAUGAGAAAUUACAACAAACAGAUUACAACUACCCUUAAAAACAAACUUAAAUACAAGUAAACUAAAACAAAAAUUACAUUUAACUCUUCAACUUUCCCAGCAAACAAACAUCUAAAAUACAAAAACGAUUGACUACAACAAACAAAUUACGACUGCCCUUACAAACUGAUAAGGAAAAAGAGUAAACUCCAAGUAUCUGCCCAUAAGCAAAUAUGUCGGUUCUAACAUUUGCAUGAGUUGAAAUGACCAUAAAUUGAAAAAGUUUAUCAUUAUUUCUCUAUGUGUACAUUAACAUGGCAAUGCUUGAGGCUGUUUUCAAUAUUGUGCAGAGGACAACAAAAUUGUUCUUUUUUUAUGUAUGUUCUUCUUUAUUUUGUCGCUUUUUUUUUCUAAUUUAAAGUUUUGAUAUCCAUUGUUCCAUGCCAAGCGGUGCAUAUGUUACAUUUAAUUGCUAUUGGUUCUCUUAUGAUUUGAAUUACAAGGUAAAAGAGUCUUGACCGUACAUAAAUUGAUAUACUCACUUUUGUUAAUUUGUUGUAGAUUUCAAACGUCAAAAAUCACGUAAAUAAAUACGUAUUCAAUAUUAUUUUUCGUCUUUAACUAGUUAAGAUUUUCUUUCUUUGUCAUUAUGAAGAUCUUUAGGCAAAAAGUUAAAGAGAGUCCAAUUAUAUAUUAUUUCUGUUUUGUUCUCUUUUGUGGGUAACACUGCUGGAGAAAUGUUGGGUUCUGAGAUAAUCGCGCAAUAAAAGGUUUAUUUUCGUUUGUUUGUGACAUAUAUUUUAUUUUUUAUUAUAUUUAUAUUUUUUUCUAUUUAAGGUUAUUUACUUAACAAUAUUCUUUUUGUUUACUUUAAUAGACGACUACUGAAGGUUAUUAUCAAUCUUAUGGAACACUUUUAAGGUAAAUAAGCGUGUAUUUUAUGUUUUUAGGUAGCUAAAAUUUUCAUACUUUGUUAGUGUGUAACUCUUUAGGCAAAAAGUUUAAAAUGGCCCAGGCGUGUCACUUGUGUUUUGUUUUCUUUUGUUGAUAACACUCUUUUAAACGUGGAUUAUGAGGCAUCCGGUGAAUAAAAGGUUUGUCUUCCUUCUUUUAUCAUAUUUUUCUGUUUUAUUUUAUUUUUUUAUUAGCUUAAUUUUUUUUAAAAAAAUUUUGAUGGAGUUGAAGAGAGUUACAAUGCUAACUAUUUGCACAUCAUCUAUCACAUUAAAUUUUAAAAAGUUUCCAGACGAAGCUCAACAAGGAGAUCUACUGCAUGACCAUUUUAGUAGAAAAGAAGAUCUGUGGUUCGAUUUGAUAGCAAAUACUGGUGAUGGCGGGAACUCGUCUUCAUCUGUUGCAGUAGCAUAAUGUCAGCAGUCUCUUUUGAUUCUUCAGUGUUUCCAAUGAGAUUGCAUUUACUGAAAUGGUACUCAGGAUAUUGGAGCUGGUCUAUACAGUGGUUAGAUACUAAGAGCUGCUGUGUUUUGUGAGGUAUCUCUUUCUUCUUGUCUUUCACAUUAUAUUUCUUGAGUUUUGGUAUGCUUGUUUUAUUUCUCGCGUCACUGGCAAGAGGACGGAGGUCCUGACCAUUCUUCAAAAUUGUGCUGUAAGUGAUGAAAAUUCAAAUUUCUAUUUUAAUGAUUUUGCAUAUUUACUGGUUGUAGCAAAUCUGCGAAUACCUGCUCUCUUGCUUACGCUGGCAGGUACUCUGUACAGCUUGUUGCAUGUUUUACGGUCUAUGAGCGACAAAAAGAGGGAGAGUAGGUACGAAGAAGAGAACCAGAGCGGUAGAGGAAGAGAGUGCGUAUGAAAUUUUACCUCAUUAUUUAUUAUCUGAUUCGUCAACUAUUUCUAUUGUUUUACUAACUAAUCAAGCAAUAAUUUUUAAUUUAUGCUACCAUAACUUAGUCGAAUGAUAGAUUUGAAACCUAAAAACCUACGUCACGCUAGAUCGAUAUGAAAAAAACAAAACAAACAAAUUAUGAUUAGAAACUGAAAUUCGAAUAAAAAUGCAAACAAACUCAAAUACAAUUAUAAAUCCAAGUAUAGUAAAAGAAAAAUUCAAUUGAUUUUUUUUUUGCAAUUCCAAACAUAUGAAACAAACAACUAACUCGAGUGAAAUUACAACAAACUAAAACAACAAAUUUCAACAACAACUACGUGCUGAAAUUCUAAUAUAAUUACAAAUUCAAGUAAACCAAAACAAAAAUAACACUUAGCUCUUUAACUUUCCCAGCAAACAAACAUCUCAAACACAAACACAAUAACGAGAAACUACAAUAAACAAAUUACAACUACCCUUAAAAAUAAACUCAAAUACAAGAAAAUCAAAACAAAAAUUAAAUUUAACUCUUCAAUUUUCCCAGCAAAUAAACAUCUAAAACACAAAAACGACAAACUACAACAAAUAAAUUACGACUACCCUUACAAACUAAUAAGGGAAAAGAGUAAAUCCUAAGUAUCUGCCCAUAAACAAGUAUGUUGGUUCUAACAUUUGCAUGAGUUGAAAUGACCAUAAAUUGAAAAAGUUUAGCAUUAUUUCUUUGUGUACAUUAACAUGGCAAUGCUUGAGGCUGUUUUCAAUAUUGUGCAAAGGACAACAAAAUUGUUCUCUUUAUGUGUCUGUUUUUCUUGAUUUUGUUGCUUUUUUUUCUAAUUUAAAUUUUUUAUAUCCGUUGUUCUAUGCCAAGCUGUGCAUAUGUUACAUUUAACUGCUCUUGGUUCUCUUCUGAUUUGAAUUACAACGUAAAAGAGUCUUGACCGUAUAUAAAUUGAUAUACUCACUUUUGUUUAUUUGUUGUAGAUUUCAAACGUCAAAAAUAAGGUAAAUAAACACGUAUUCAAUAUUAUCUUUUGUCUUUAAUUAGUUAAAAUUUUCUUUCUUUGUUAUUAUGAAGAUCUUUAGGCAAAAAGUUAAAGAGAGUCCAAUUAUAUAUGAUUUCUGUUUUGUUCUCUUUUGUGGGUAACACUUCUGGAGAAAUGUUGGGUUCUGAGAUAGUUGCGUAACAAAAGGUUUAUUUUCGUUUGCUUUUGUGACAUAUGUUUUAUUUUCUAUUAUAUUUAUAUUUUUUUCUAUCUAGCAUUAUUUACUUAGUAAUAUUCUUUUUCUUUACUUUAAUAUAGGACUACAGAAGGUUAUUACCAAUAUUGGGGAGCACUUUUAAGGUAAAUAAGUAUGUGUUUUUUAUCUUUUUAGGUAGCUAAAAUUUUUUACAUUUUGUUAGCGUAUAACUCUUUAGGAAAAAAGUUUAAGAUGGUCCAGGCGUAUCACUUGUGUUUUGUUUUCUCUUUUUUAUACCACUUUUUUAAACGUGGAUUAUGAGGUAUCCGAGAAAUAAAAGGUUUGUCUUCCUUCUUUUAUCAUAUUUUUCUGUUUUAUUUUGUAUUUUUAUUAGCUUAAUUUUUUUAACACUUUUUUUGAUGGAGUUGGAGAGAGUUACAACACUAACUGUUUGUGCAUCAUCUAUCACAUUAAAUUUUAAAAAGUUUCCGGACGAAGCUCAACAAGGAGAUCUACUGCAUGGUCAUUUUAGUGGAAAAGAAGGUCUGUGGUCGAUUUGAUAGCAAAUAUUGGUGAUGGCGGGAACUCGUCUUCAUCGGUUGCAGUAGCAUUUGGUCAGCAGUCUCUUUUGAUUCUUCAGUAUUUCCAAUGAGGUUGCAUUUACUGAAAUGGUACUCAGGAUAUUAGAGCUGGUCUAUACAGUGGUUAGGUACUAAGAGCUGCUGUGUUUUAUGAGGUAUCUCUUUCUUCUUGUCUUUCAUAUUAUAUUUCUUGAGCUUUGGUAUGCUUGUUUUGUUUCUCACGUCGCUGGCAAGAGGACGGAGGUCCUGACCAUUCUUCAAAAUUAUGCUGUAAGUGAUGAAAAUUCAAAAUUUAUUUUAAUGAUUUUGCAUAUUUACUGGUUGUAGCAAACUACGAAAACUUGCUCUCUUGCUUACGCUGGCAGGUACUCUGUAUAGCUUGUUGCGUGUUUUACGGUCUGUGAGCGAUAAAAAGAGGGAGAGUAUGCACGAAGAAGAGAACCAGAGCGGCAGAGGAAGAGAGUUCGUAUGAAAUUUUACCUCAUUAUUUAUUAUUUGAUUCGUAAACUAUUUCUAUUGUUUUACUAACUAAUCAAGCAAUAAUUUUGAAUUUAUGCUACCAUAACUUAGUCGAAUGAUAGAUUUGAAAUCUAAAAAUCUACGUCACGUUAGACCGAUAAGAACAAAGCAAAGAAAACAAAUUAUGGUUAGAAACUGAAAUUCGAAUAAAAAUGCAAACAAACUCAAAUACAAUCACAAAUCCAAGUAUACUGAAAGAAAAAUUCAAUUGAUUUUUUUUUUUUCAAUUCCAAACAAACGAAACAAACAACUGACCCGAGUGAAAUUACAACAGACUAAAACAACAAAUUUCAACAACAAUUACGUGCUGUAAUUCUACUACGAUUACAAACUCAAGUAAACCAAAACAAAAAUACUACUUAGCUCUUCAACUUUCCCAGCAAAUAAACAUCUCAAACACAAUAACGAGAAAUUAUAACAAAUAAAUUACAACUACCCUUAAAAACAAACUCAAAUAUAAGUAAACAGAAACAAAAAUUAUAUUUAGCUCUUCAACUUUUCCAGCAAACAAACAUCUCAAACAUAAAAAUCACAAACUACAACAAACAAAUUACGACUACCUUUACAAACUGAUAAAGAAAAAAGUAAACCCCAAGUAUCUGCCCAUAAGUAAAUACGUCGGUUCUAACAUUUGCAUGAGUUGAAAUGACCAUAAAUUGAAAAAGUUUAGCACUAUUUCUCUGUGUACAUUAACAUGACAAUGCUUGAGGCUGUUUUCAAUAUUGUGCAGAGGACAACAAAAUUGUUCUCUUUUUAUAUAUGUUCUUCUUGAUUUUGUCGCUUUUUUUUUUUUUUUUUUCUAAUUUGAAGUUUUGAUAUCCGUUGUUCCAUGCCAAGCGGUGCAUAUAUUACAUUUAAUUGCUAUUGGUUCUCUUCUGAUUUGAAUUACAAGGUAAAAGAGUCUUGACCGUAUGUAAAUUGAUAUACUCACUUUUGUUUAUUUGUUGUAGAUUUCAAACGUCAAAAAUAAGGUAAAUAAACACGUAGUCAAUAUUAUCUUUUGUCUUUAAUUAGUUAAAAUUUUAUUUCUUUGUUAUUAUGAAGAUCUUUAAGCAAAAAGUUAAAUAGAGUCCAACUAUAUAUUAUUUCCGUUUUGUUCUCUUUUGUGGGUAACACUUCUGGAGAAAUGUUGGGUUCUGAGAUAGUCGCGUAACAAAAGGUUUAUUUUCGGUUGCUUGCGACAUAUAUUUUAUUUUCUAUUAUAUUUAUAUUUUUUUCUAUAUAGCAUUAUUUACUUAGUAAUAUUAUUUUUCUUUACUUUAAUAUAGGACUACAGAAGGUUAUUACCAAUCUUGAGGAGCACUUUUAAGGUAAAUAAUCGUGUGUUUUUAUGUUUUUAAGUAGCUAAAAUUUUCAUACUUUGUUAGCGUGUAACUCUUUGGGUAAAAAGUUUAAGAUGGUCCAGGCGCGUCACUUGUGUUUUGUUUUCUUUUUUUGAUACCACUCUUUUAAACGUGGAUUAUGAGGUAUUCAGAGAGUAAGAGGUUUGUCUUCCUUCUUUUAUCAUAUUUUUCUGUUUUAUUUUAUUUUUUUGUUAGCUUAAUUUUUUAAAAACUUUUUUUAAUGGAGUUGGAGAGAGUUGCAAUGCUAACUGUUUAUGCAUCAUCUAUCACAUUAAAUUUUAAAAAGUUUCCAGACGAAGCUCAACAAGGAGAUCUACUGCAUGGUCAUUUUAGUGGAAAAGGUCUGUGGUUCGAUUUAAUAGCAAAUACUGGUGAUGGCGGGAACUCGUCUUCAUCGGUUGCAGUAGCAUAAUGUCAGCAGUCUCUUUUGAUUCUUCAGUGUUUCCAAUGAGAUUGCAUUUACUGAAAUAGUACUCAGGAUACUGGAGCUGGUCUAUACAGUGGUUAGGUACUAAGAGCUGUUGUGUUUUAUGAGGCAUCUUUUUCUUCUUGUCUUUCACAUUAUAUUUCUUGAGUUUUGGUAUGCUUGUCUUGUUUCUCGCGUCGCUGGCAAGAGGACGGAGGUCUUGACAAUUCUUCAAAAUUGUGCUGUAAGUGAUGAAAAUUCAAAUUUUAUUUUAAUGAUUUUGCAUAUUUACUGAUUGUAGCAAACCUACGAAUACUUGCUCUCUUGCUUACGCUAGCAGGUACUCUGUAUAGCUUGUUGCGUGUUUUACAGUCUGUGAGUGACAAAAAGAGGGAGAGUACAUAUGAAGAAGAGAAAUAGAGCGGCAGAGGAAGAGAGUGCGUAUGAAAUUUUACCUCAUUAUUUAUUAUCUGUGUUGUAUACUUCUCAUUUAUUCUUUCAAUUGUUGCAAUAUUUGCAUCUUCAGUAUGAUGAAAUGUUCCCUUCACUAUUUAGUUAUCAUCCUGAUAUAUUUCCUCCACACCUGUCCACAGACAGGAAGCUCAGAACUUGCUCAAUUCCAGUUUAUGGCUUCUUAAUACACUUAGUCUCUCUCUCUCUCUCUCUCUCUCUCUCUCUCUCUCUCUCUUUAAUCAUUCUUAAACUUAAUCUUCAAUCCUAGAAUACGAUCGAAAGAUUUCUUUAGUUGCUUGAAAGUAACUCGUUUACCAUUUGUAAAAUAAUAUGCACUCAUUACAACUUUGACUUUAGCUCAUAGAUAGUGAUAGAUCAAUAUUAUUUUUAAGAAAUGCAACGUAAUUGGUGUUUUUGGGUAACUUGAAUCAGUUAAUAAUUUUCUCAAGAUAAUUUACUUUUUUCUGUAUGGUCUGCUGAUUUUCCCUUUGGAUUAUGGCUAGUAGACAGAAUGACUUGUGAUUGUUAGCAAAUAAAUAAUAUCUUCUUUAAAGAUAUAUUUAAAAUUAGAUAGUUAGAAUAACUAUUUUCAAAUAAGAUUAGGAAUCGAAUGUUGAUUAAUUUUUAUGUAUUAAAGCUGAUAGUUAUUGAAUAUUUAGUGAUGAGCUAGUGAUACAUUCAAAACUAGAUAGUUAGGAUUUGCUUUUUUUAAAUAAGACUAGGAAUUGAUGUUGAUUGACUUUUAUGUACUAAAGUUGAUAGAUACAGAGUACUAGUGACAUGUAAGAAAGUUUUUGUUUUAUUUUAGCUCUGACACAAUGGUCGGUUAGUAUUGUUCUAAGAUAUUCGAUGUAAUUGAUGUUUUAAGAUGACUUCAAUCAUUUUGUAGGUUUUUAGAGGUAGAUGACUUUCUUUUGUAUGGUUUAAUAUUUUUUUUUGUGUUUUGGUAAUAGCCCGUUGUUAGAAAGAUGGUGGUUGUUGGUUGUUAUGUGGUAUUAUCCACAGUGAUUUAUUUAAACUUAGAUGGUUAGGAUUGUUGAGUAAUGUUAGGAACUGGACACUGAUUGAUUUUUUAUGUAUUGAAACUAAUAAGAAUAGAGUAGUUAGUAGUAAGUUUGUGGAGGUAAGUUCUUGUUUGAUUUUAACUACAAGAUAGUGGUAAAUUAUCGUUUCAAGGUAAGUUAGAGGAGAAAAAAAGAUUGUAUAUGUAUGUGACUUUUUUUUGGAUCUAAUUCUAAAAGAUAAUACAUAGUUUGAAUACAAUUACAGUUAAAAGUAAUUUGUAAUUGAAAAAAUUUUUGGCAAACAAAAGUAUCAAGUAAAGAUAACUUAUAAGAUGACAUCACUAGGACAUGAAGAAGAGUUUGGAGCAUCAAAGUUAGGUAGCAAGUUAAUGUACCUCGCAAUAAAUAUACUCAUUUGCUACAUUGAGUGUGUGUAUUGGAUCUUAAUAGUUUACGUAAUGUGGCCUCCGAACAUAUUGCAAAAAACUAUACUUGUAAUAAAAAAAUAAUUUUUUCUAACACUCGAACUAAAUCUACUGCAAGAUUAUAUCUAUGAAUUUUUCAACUACAUAAUUUAAUAAAAAAAAUGCGAAAUAUAGAUUUUGAGCCAAGUUUUCUUACUUCAUUAAAAAAACUAUUAUGGUGUAAGCGACAAAAAAAUUAUGUGACAAAGAAAUUCUAACUUAAAGAUUUAUCACAUGUUAACUUUACUUUAGAUUUAGANNNNNNNNNNNNNNNNNNNNNNNNNNNNNNNNNNNNNNNNNNNNNNNNNNNNNNNNNNNNNNNNNNNNNNNNNNNNNNNNNNNNNNNNNNNNNNNNNNNNNNNNNNNNNNNNNNNNNNNNNNNNNNNNNNNNNNNNNNNNNNNNNNNNNNNNNNNNNNNNNNNNNNNNNNNNNNNNNNNNNNNNNNNNNNNNNNNNNNNNNNNNNNNNNNNNNNNNNNNNNNNNNNNNNNNNNNUCACAUUUUUUUAGAAUUAAUUAAUAAGUGUUUAUCACACAUUCUUAUUUAUGAUAUUUUACUUUUUUAAAAAAAAAAUUUAAUUUAUUAUCUCUUUCUUAAUAAUUACAGUUUUCUAUCAUAAAAAUAUUUUAAUUUUUUAUAAAAUAUAACAAAAAUUUAAAACAACACACUAAGCUUGGGCUCUGUGUAGUUUAACUUUUUUAACGCAGUCGUUGCUUUUUUCUUUUUCUUUUCUUUUUUCUUUAUUUUCCCUUUAAAAGCAAACGGACCGUGCGAUUAGAUUAAAACCCCACAAAAGUUUUCCAAUUCUCCUCUUCAGACCACCUUCUGCCUCUCUUUUACUUCCAAAAAGUUUUCAACGUUCUUUGUUUCCUGAUCUCACCUUGCCCAGAGAGAAGGAGAGAGAUACAAGCACAAAAGAGAGAGAGAAAAAGGGGAAAAUGACAGAAACGACCAGACAUGGAUCUGAAACCCUCCAUUCUCUUCAAUGUCUAGAGGGAAAUAAAAGAAUAUCAGAAAGAGGUAAGGAAAAAGAUGAUAGAAAACAAAUUAGAAUGGUCAUCUUUCUACCAUUCCAUCUCUUUUUCAGUUUCUUGAGAGCAGAGAAUCAAAUAGAGAAAGAAAAGAAGAACAAAGAAAGAAGGAAAAAAGAAGAUCGAAAAGAAGAUAGAUGGGUUUCUCGUAAAGACCCAACACUACUUAGUCAUUCUGUUAAAUUUCAAUCUCUCUUGUUCGCAAGCCUUUCCCAGAGAGAAGGUGAGAAAUACAAACAUAACAGAGAGAGAAAAAGGGGAAAAAGACAGAAACGAGCAGACAUGGAUCUGAAACUCUCCAUUCUCUUCAAGGGAGAUCGAAAAGAAGAUCGAUGGGUUUCUCUUCAAGACCCAACACUACUUAGUCAUUCUGUUAAAUUUCAAUCUCUCUCGUUCACAAGCCUUGCCCAGAGAGAAGGUGAGAAGUACGGACAUAGCAGAGAGAGAAAAAGGGGAAAAAGACAGGAACGAGCAGACAUGGAUCUGAAACUCUCCAUUCUCUUCAAUGUGGAGAGGGAAAGAAAAGAAUAUCAGAAAGAGGUAAGGAAGAAGAUGAUAGAAAACAAAUUAAACUGUCCUCUUUCUACCAUUCUAUUUCUUUUUCAGUUUAUUGGGAGUAAAGAGCCAAAUAGAGAAAGAAAAGAAGAGCAAAGAAAGAGGGAAGAAGAAGAUCGAAAGAAGAGAUGUGUCUUUCUCUUCAAAGACCCAACGGUGGCCGGAGGUAUUUUUACUUAUCUCUUAAUAUUGGUAGGUGAUCAUUCAUGGAGUUUAUUUUUAUUUGGUUCUCCUUUCAUGAAGUUGGCAUAAGUGAUUUAGUCUCUCUUAAUCUGGGUUUACAUAAAUCUUUUUUUUUUAAAAAUUUCUUUUUAUAGUUUCUGUCUUCUUAUUUAUUUAUUCUUCUUAUUUAAUGUUUUUAGUUUUCAUAAAUUUGUUUUGUUAUGUGUAGUAUCUGUUCUUAACUAACUAACUAAUUGUUUCUUAGCAUCAGUUAUUUUCAACUAUAUCUGUAAUGAGGAAUAAUGAAUUGGUUCUCUGUCUCUCUCUGUGUUCUCUUCUCUCUUUUGUUCUCUCUGUCUGUUUCUCACUCUCUCUGCACUUCUCUCUUUGUUUGCUACAUUCCAAACCCUAAAAGCCCUCUUCCUAAAUUUCACACAUAACAUAUUUCUAAAUUAAUUCGAGUUCUUUCUUGUUAUAAACAUUGCAGCAGGUUUCUUAACUGGGGAGAUGUUGUUUUUCUUAUUCCUUUUUACCAUGAUUUAUAGACUUGAAAUUUACUCAAAAGAUAGCAGCAGUUUCUUGUUUUUUCAUUUAAAUAUUCCAAUUUAGCUUUAAUAAUUUUACAGACAAACAAACUAUCUUCUGGAAUUUGAUUUAGUAGGUUCUGUUUUUUAUGGAGUUUGCAAAGUUGAUAUUUUGGUCUCUGUUUCUAAGUACAUUUGACACGUUCCUUUGAGACCCAGGUAGGUUGGGAAUAGAAUAUUAAUGCUGUGGAUAUUCCAUAGUUAUAUGCUAAUGUAUGAAUCAAAUAUGAACAUAUUACCCUUUUCCGAUUGAGGGAACUUUCGAAAAGAAGAAUUGUUUGAUUGAUUACCCUCCCAAAGUAUUCAGAGUAUUCGGGUUUUCUUGAAAACUAACAGCGUAAAAAUGUUACAGCAAUAAUAAAUGUAUUAAAAAUAAAAGCAAGAAUAACGAUUGGAUUUGGAGCUCUAUUGCAUAGAUGGUAAUCUAUAGUCUUUUUUAAUUUUCUAACUUAUUAUUUCUUUCACAAUCUAAAACUUCUUAAAAAACUAUUUUAUCUUGUGAACUUUCCUUUAAAUAUUUUCAUAAUUGGGAAUAUUGUCUAAAAUGUCGCAUAUUUUUCAUUUAUGCUUUCAAUUGUUGCAAUAUUUUCUUUUUCAGUAUGAUGAGAUGUUCCCUUCACUAUUCAUUGAUCAUCCUGAUAUAUUUUCUAUUAUAUAAAUAUAUGUCAAGGUUUAUUUUGCUUUGUUAUGAUAUGAAUUUUAUUUUCUAUUAUAUAUAUAUUUUUUCUAUUUAGAAUUAUUUACUUAACAAUAUUCUUUAUAUUUACUUUAAUAUUCUUUAUGUUUACUUUAAUAUAGGACUACCAAAGUUAUUAUCAAUCUUAGGGAAUACUUUUAAGAUAAAUAAGCAUGUAUUUUUAUUUUUUUGGGUGGUUAAAAUUUUUAUAUUUUGUUAGUAUAUAAUUCUUUAGGCAAAAAGUUUAAAAUAGUUUCACUUGUAUUUUAUUUUCUUUUAUUAGUAGCACUCUUUUAUACGUGGAUUAUGAGGUAUCCGUGGAAUAAGAGAUAUGUUUUCAUUUUUUUAUCAUAUUUUUCAAUUUAGUUUUGCUUGUCUUAAACCUAAUUUAUUUUUCAAAAUUUUCUGAUGGAGUUGGAGAGAGUUACAAUGUUAUCUAUUUCUGCAUCAUCUAUCACAUUAAGUUUUAAAAAGUUUUUUAUUUGGAGAACAAGGAUCACUUUAGUGGAAAAGAAGAUUUGGAGUUCGAUUUGAUGGAAGAUACUGGUGAUAGCAGGAACUUAUCUUCUUCGGUUGCAGGAGUACUUGGUCAGUGAUUUUUUUUGUUUCUUUAAUAUUUCUAAUAAGGUUGCAUUUACUAAAUUGGUAAUCAGGAUAGUACUUGUCUAUUAUGCAGUGGUUUGGUACUCUGGGCUGCUUUGUUGCAUGAGGUAUCUCUUUCCUCUUGUCUUUUACAUUAUAUUUACUGCGUUUUGGUAUGUUUGUCUUGUUUCUCGCGUCGCUGACAAAAGGAAGAAAGUCCUUAUCAUUCUUCAAAAUUGUGCUGUAAGUGAUGAAAAUUCAAUUUUUAUUUUAAUAAUUUUGCAUAAUUACUUAUAGCAAACCUGCGAAUACUGGCUCUCUUGCUUACGCUGGCAGGUUCUCGGUAUAGCCUGUGGUGUGCUUUACGGUCUGUGAGCGAAAGAGGGAGAGUGAGUACGACGAAGAAGAGAACCAGAGCGACAGAGGAAGCGAGUUCGUAUGAAAUUUUACCUCAUGAUUUUAUUAUCUAAUUAAUCAAUUAUUUUUAUUUUUUUACUAACUAAUCAAACAAUAAUUUUUAAAUUAUGCUACCAUAACUUAGUUGAAGGAUGUAUUUGAACACUAAAAACCUACAUGAUUCUAGAUCGAUAUGAACAAUGUAAAGCAAAUAAAUUAUAAUUAAAAACCAAAAUUGGAAUAAAAAUACAAACAAACUCAAAUACAGUUACAAAUUCAAGUACACUGAAAAAAAAUCCAAUUGAUUUUUUUACAAUUCCAAACAAAUGAAACAAAUAACUAACUCGAAUGAAAUUACAACAAACUAAAACAACAAAUUUCAACAACAAGUAGGUGCUAAAAGUCUAAUAUAUUUGCAACAAACUCAAAUAUAAUAACAUACUCAAGUAAACCAAAACAAAAAUUAUAUUUAGCUCUUCAACUUUUCCAGCAAAUGAACAUCUCAAACACAAUAACGACAAACUACAACAAACAAAUUAUAACUACUCUUACAAACUAACUCAAAUACAAUUACCAAGUCAAGUAAAUCAAAACAAAAAUUAUAUUUAGCUCUUCAAUUUGUCCAGCAAAAAACUUCUCAAAAAUAAUGACCAACUGCAACAAACAAAUUACAACUACCUUUAUAAACAAACAAAUUACAACUACCCUUAUAAACUA
This 14602-nucleotide long non-coding RNA is filed under the name Carica papaya (papaya). RNAcentral's name for it is "long non-coding RNA (CPAP_LNC002535)". The record is from RNAcentral. Lineage: Eukaryota; Viridiplantae; Streptophyta; Magnoliopsida; Brassicales; Caricaceae.